GGAGAGGAUAAGUAAAUAAUUGUCACAUUGUCACAUGAUUUGUGAGAAGCACUGUUAUCUUAAUAUUAUUGUUCAAAUAUUGAUGUGAAUGUAACAGAUAAAAGUCAGGACUCAAUGCAGACUACAGUAGUGUAGACCUGUGGAGAUACAAGUAUGUAGGUAUUUUUGAUGUAGGAAAUUAAAUUUCUUAAAGGCAGUGAAUCAGUGAACAACUCUGUAGCUAAUGAAAAUAUUUAGCUGUUUUUCUUCCAUACAGUGUUCUGUGUAUACACACAGGUGAAUACAUCUAUCCUGAAUCAAACAGAAGACCUGUCUGAUCUACUAAGGAUUGAAAUAAGUUUUCUUUCUCCUGAAGUGCAGUGUAAUGAUGAUGCAUCAUCCUUUGCACAGUGAACUUACCACAAACGUCUGUAUCACGCGAACCAAUGAGGAGGAAGAGUAUUUGUAUCACAGAGCCAAAGGACAGUAAAAGUCAAUAACCAUCACAUGGUUUGCGAGAAGCACUAUUGGCUUAGUUCAAAUAUUAAUGUGAAUGUAACAGAUAAAAGUCAGGACUCAUUGCAGACUACAUCAGUGUAGACUUGUGGAGAUACAGGACAUCAUGAGGCUCCAAUGGAUGCUCCUGCUAGGAGCCUGCGCGGUGGUGAGGGCAGCAAACCCACCUGCUCUUUACCACCGUUUUGUCCAGAUCCACAUACAAACGAGAAUGGCAAUCCAGGACUGUUCUCGUGUCAUGCAAAAACUGCAGCUGAAUGAGCCUGGAACUCAGAACUGCAAAUAUACAAACACGUUCAUCGUUACUAACCCUAUCCUCCAACAAGUCGAGGCCGUCUGUAAUAAUGCUGGAACACGUGACUUUACAGCUGGCAAUAUAUUCACUAGCAAUCAACGAUUCUCUCUUGUCACUUGUAGGCUCUCUAGUGGCACUCAACACCCCAAUUGUGAAUAUAAUGGUACUCCAUCAAUAAGGAGAAUCAGAGUUUCUUGUGACCCUGAUGGGCAGAACCGUCGUAUACUCUGGCCAACACACUAUGCAGGUGAUGUUGUUUAGCAUAUUUUUGUCAGCUACAAUACUUUAAUCAGGUCUACUAUUUUUUUUUCCAAUAAGGUGGGAAUAUGCCGCUACACAAUUUGCCAUCAAAUGUUAUAGAAACUCGCCAGUUCAAUUUAAAAGGAUUGUGUUACAUAUGAUCCCUUUGUUAUUAGUGGCUUCCUUUUACAGUAAUACAAUGCCUGAUUUCUUGAUUUGCUCUCAGUUGUGACAAAUACAUCUGAAAAGCAGCGUGAUUUUAAUUGCAACUAAAUUGUGAAAAUGUAUUAAAUAAAUGGUACAGUGUGGGCAGACUGUUAAGAAG
Long non-coding RNA from Hypomesus transpacificus, 1355 nucleotides. RefSeq lists it as uncharacterized. NCBI's taxonomy places the organism in Eukaryota, Metazoa, Chordata, Actinopteri, Osmeriformes, Osmeridae. The transcript is spliced from 4 exons. The record is from RefSeq and is a predicted model, not a curated record.